CGCGACUUACUUGGCGAAAAGGCUGGUUUGGCGCGUUUGGUUUGUCGGAUUUCAAUCUGGGGCUUCACGCCAGAAAGUUCAUACGAAAUGGCGGGCUUCGAGGCCGGGAUGGGUGAUUGGAACACCUCGUCGUAGGGGUGAAAUGGUGUGGUAUCAUGUGUACAUCUGAGGCGACAGGGCGAGUCCUUGUAACGGAUCCGACGCUGAGGCACGAAAGCGUGGGGAGCAAACAGGGAUUAGAUAUCCUGGUAGCCCACGCCGUAAACGGUGCACAUUUUUCGUGGGGGGAAUUGACCCCCCCCCGUGCCUAGCGAACGCGAUAAAUGUGCCGCCUGGGGAGUACGGCCGCAAGGUUAAAACUCAAAGAAAUUGACGGGGGCCCGCACAAGCGGAGGAGCAUGUGGCUUAAUUUGAUGCAACGCGAAGAACCUUACUUAGGCUUGACAUGUGAUUGCACGACCGGUGAAAGCCGGUCUCCUUCGAGGGUGUCACACAGGUGCUGCAUGGCUGUCGUCAGUUCGUGCCGUGAGGUGUUUGGUUAAGUCCACCAACGAACGCAACCCCUGCGUCCAGUUGCCAUCGGGUCAUGCCGGGAACUCUGGACGGACCGCCCCUUCAAACGGGAGGAAGGUGGGGAUGACGUCAAGUCAGUAUGGCCCUUACGCCUAGGGCUGCACACGUGCUACAAUGGCCGGUACAGAGGGACGCGAGACCGCGAGGUGGAGCAAACCCCCAAAACCGGCCCCAGUUCAGAUUGGAGUCUGCAACCCGACUCCAUGAAGUUGGAUUCGCUAGUAACGGCGCAUCAGC
Molecule: ribosomal RNA, 810 nt
Filed under: uncultured bacterium
Lineage: Bacteria
Description: bacterial SSU rRNA
Rfam family: Bacterial small subunit ribosomal RNA
Source: RNAcentral